Molecule: long non-coding RNA, 1783 nt
Organism: Onychostoma macrolepis
Lineage: Eukaryota; Metazoa; Chordata; Actinopteri; Cypriniformes; Cyprinidae
Exons: 5
Source: RefSeq, a predicted model, not a curated record
CAGCAACAGCGCAAGGGCGACGAACCAGCAUCAGCAUCAGAGAUCCGGAGCAUCAGUGUUCAACCCACGCAGCUGGAUCACUGAAAUGAUGAAGCGUUGCGUUGAAUCUCAUCAGGUCCUUUUGGAUGACAAAGUCAAGAUAACUGAGGCCAACAUCAGAAGGAAAAAUCUGCAAAGUGACAGAACAGGAAAGGAUGUACGCAGUGAAUGGGAAAUUACACCUUUCUGACAAUAUGAAUCCUGCAUCCUGCUGACUCAAACUGGGCACAAGAAUUGCAUGGUUUGUUUGGAGGAGAGCAUACCCAAAGGGACUGUCUGAGUGAGUCGAUGAACAUGAGCUUUAAAGAGGAAAAGCGAGACGAUGGAUGGAUGAAAAGAUGGAUGGUUGCGUGGAAGAGCUCCAGGGCUUGUCUGAGACGAGACAUUACUGUUACAUGAUCCAGCAGACAGCCGGAGUGAGGAGGAGAGCGAGAGAUAGAGAGACCAAGAGACCAAGAGAAGCGAAAGAAACAGUUAAUUGAGUUUCCUCCCGGCAGAAUGAAGAUUUGGCCCCCUGGACAUUUGAACCCAUUAUACUUUGUCGCUCUCUUUCUCCCAGCUCCUCAGAAUGACAGCAAACACUACUACACACAGACUGAAGGAUGCAUCUCCUCAGGAACUCUGGGCUAUUUUUAGACCUUUCCUUUUUAGCACUCCAAUCAAUGAAAUUCUGUUCCACCGUUUUGUCCCCACAAGACUUCCUCUGUUAUUUCUGCGUAAAUGGAGGUCAAAGCAAUUGAUUUUGGUUCACAUCCUAUCUGCAUUAUUGGACUGCUGCAGUAUGUGUAUGUGUGUGCGCUUAAUUCAUGUUCUGAGUUUAUGUCCAGCAGGGCUGGUUGCAUUUUUCAUUUAUCCAAUUUCCUCCUGUGCUUGAUUAGACUGUUACUCAUACUUGUUUCCUAAUUGCUCAUGUGAAAAUAGAAAAAAUGACAUUUGCAUUGAUUUCCUCCUUACACCCUUAAAGGAAUAGUUCUCAUUACAAUUUGCUGACAAUUUACUCCAAAAAGUUCUAAAAUGUAGAUGAAUUUGUUGCUUUUUUGGAGAAAUCUAGCGUUAUACAUCACUUGCUCACCAAUGGAUCCUUUGCAGUGAAUGGGUGCCGUCAGGAUUAGCUGUUAAAAACAUCACAAUAAUCUACAAGUAAUCCACAUGAUUCCAGUCCAUCAAUUAACAUCUCGUGAAGCAAAAAGCGGCAUGUUUGUAUGAAACAAAUCCAUCAAGGCAUUUUAACUUUAAACAUUCAAAAUUAUUGAAGAUAUAUACAUUUUUUUAUUAAAAUACUACAAUUUCUUAUCCCAGUGAAAUAUGUAGAGACAAGGGAUAAUUGACCUGAUCACCCCGUCUGUUUUUAUUCUGCUACAGUAUAAUGACUGGCUGACUGUAUAUCAUGCCGCUUUUUACAUGGCCAAAGUAAUAAAUAAAUAUAUAUUUUAACAGACGGGAAAUGGCAUAUUUAAAAAUAUUUCUGGUGCAUAAAUUACUUCAGCUUUAAACAUGAAAUUAAAAUUCACCUUUUCUUUUUCUUUUCUUGUAAAUGCAUGUUAUAGAUCUUAUUGUGAAUGGCUAUGUUUAUUUUUUUUCAUUUAUUUAAUUUAUUCAACAUUUUUUUGAUCUUGUGAUUUUAAUCAAAAUGAACAAUAAAUUAUAACUUAAUCUUUCCACUGAAAACAGUUGACUUCUCUGUGCUGACGUAUGCCGGCCUACAUCUCAAAAAUCUCAAAAGUCCACAUACUUCAUGUUUUUU